This 479-nucleotide long non-coding RNA is filed under the name Brassica napus (rape). RNAcentral describes it as "long non-coding RNA (BNAP_LNC010634)". Lineage: Eukaryota; Viridiplantae; Streptophyta; Magnoliopsida; Brassicales; Brassicaceae. The record is from RNAcentral.
UAAUGUUGAGAGUAUCGGGAACGACAAUGCUUGGUUUUCAUUCUUGCUAGAUUAGGCACUCUAUUGUCUAGCUAUAGGUGGGGGUGAGUGUUGUGACUAUGGUUUAGAAGCAUGAAAAGUUCGAAGGAAAAGAAUAGACUCUUUGUGUUUAAAUGGAUAAUCUUAUUGGAAUUAAUAGAUAAACGUCUAGCUCGAGUUUAUGAAAAGUCUUGGCCCCCGAAAAAAAGAAUAUAAAAGAGAAAAAAAAGGGGGCUAGCAAAGUUGUUUAGAACUAAGAUUUGUUUAGAAGUUGAGAAAAUCUUUUAUAGAUUUCAAAGAAAAAGAGUUUUAUGUGCGAAGUGUUCUUGAGAUCUUUUGGUGAGAGAAGAGAGUUGGGUUUGACAUUGGGAAGUGAUUAUGUAACUUGUAUGUUUGGGAAAAUGGUAGAACAUUGGAGAUUGAGCAUUGUAUGCAUGAGUUGGUCCCUUUCUUAGAUAUAU